GUCAAGGUGGCAGACUCUGGCUAAUGCAGAAGACCUAAGCCCUUCUUACAGGGGUUCAACUCCCCUCCUAGACU
RNAcentral lists this transfer RNA (74 nucleotides) under Poecilia parae. Its description in RNAcentral is "tRNA-Leu". It matches the Rfam family "tRNA". Rfam says of the family: Transfer RNA (tRNA) molecules are approximately 80 nucleotides in length. Their secondary structure includes four short double-helical elements and three loops (D, anti-codon, and T loops). Lineage: Eukaryota; Metazoa; Chordata; Actinopteri; Cyprinodontiformes; Poeciliidae. The record is from RNAcentral.